RNAcentral lists this long non-coding RNA (17910 nucleotides) under Solanum lycopersicum (tomato). RNAcentral's name for it is "long non-coding RNA (SLYC_LNC000340)". The record is from RNAcentral. Lineage: Eukaryota; Viridiplantae; Streptophyta; Magnoliopsida; Solanales; Solanaceae.
GUCAGACAGCCAUGAGACCAUCUUAGGUCUGAAAUUAGGGUCUAAGAACGAUCAUCUACUGUAACCACAGCUCGAGAAACCAUGGAUAGCUGUUAAUCACGCUCUGGUCACAUGGCAGAUGAAGAGAAGUGGGCUUCCGUUCAAAAGGAAAACAACAGCUCGAGAAACCAUGGAUAGCUGUUAAUCACGCUCUGGUCACAUGGCAGAUGAAGAGAAGUGGGCUUCCGUUCAAAAGGAAAACAAAAAAAAUGAGAGAGUCUGUCAGACAGCCAUGAGACCAUCUUAGGCCUGAGAUUAAGGGUCUAAGAACGAUCAUCUACUGUAACCACAGCUCGAGAAACCAUGGAUAGCUGUUAAUCACGCUCUGGUCACAUGGCCAUGCUUCAUCAACCAGACUUGGAUUCCUGUCUCCUUAGAAUUCAAGGAUACAAUGGUACGAGCCUAUAGAACAGAUCCUGUUCAAGUAAGGUCGUGACCGUUGAUAGUGGAUAGAUUCUUAUAACGCUAGAGUUUAUGUGCUGCACUGCCGAUGUGGGAACAAUAUAUUGGCCCCUGACACACCUACGCCGACUACAACGCAAUAUCUCUAAGGCUAAAGUGCAAUUAAAGUAAUAAAAUUUAUGUCGUAUUUCAGUUUUUUAUUUGUUAUAGAAAAAAUAACAAUUACGCAUUAAUUUAUAUUUUUAACGUGUGGACAGUUAAUUUCGUAGAAACCGUUCCAAUUCCCAGUAGGAAAAACUCCAUAGCAGUUGCCAUGAACUCCAUAAUAAUUCACUUGUAAAGUUUCAUAGUUUCUCAUUCAAUUCAAUCUUCAGUAGAGUCUGAAAAUAAUGGCUCCAAUCAAAGUGACAGUAAGUAAUUCAGAGGAACGCCACACAAUGCUCUCAGAGUAUAUAAAAUCAAUAGCAUUCAAGAAACAACAGAUAACAAAAGUAUUCCAAAAGGGGGAUAAAAUUGAAGUGGCAAGUCAAGUAUAUGGCUUCGUAGGUUCUUACUACGAAGCAACUAUUGUUUCUUCAAUUGGCGCUUACCAUUACAAAAUCAAGUACAAGAAUCUGUUGACUGAUGAUGAAUCUGCACCACUGGAAGAGAUGUUCACUUCAGCCGCGAUCCGCCCUGUUCCGCCUCAUCGAGAUGAAACAAUGUCAGAAAACGGAUUCCGUCUGUACGAUAUGGUUGAUGUGUUUGCCAACGAUGGAUGGUGGUUUGGAUUUAUCAGUGGGAAAAUCGGAGAAGAGCACUAUGUCUACUUCCCUACAACUGCAGAUAACAUUGCAUACCCUCGCGAUGUAUUGAGAUUUCAUCAAGAAUGGUCUAAUGGCAAGUGGAUAUUUCUUCCAAGACCAUGAAAGAUUUUCGAUUUGCACUGAUCAUGAUUUACAGUAAUGUGAUAUGAAGUUACUGAAUCUUUCUCCUUUAUGUUAAGAAGAAUAAUUCAAGUUUAGUCCCAAAAGAUUUCUAUUGAGGAAAUAGUGGAUGAAAUAUUUUGUAGUUUAUAGUGAGAAACAAGAAUCUAUGAUUUGUUACUUUGUUUUUAGCCUUGAAUUGAGCUAGGGAUGCAUUUAUGCUCAAGAAUUUAGUUAUAAGGUACUCUCUAUCCCUAUUUAUUUGUCUAUAUUUCUUUUUAUAUAUGUCCAUAUUUACUUGUCCAUUUUAACAAAUCAAGAAAACACAACAAUUUUUUUCCUAAUAUGUCCUUAUUUAAUUCUAGAAAAUUUCUAGUACUACUAAGUUUUAAUAUGCUUUUUUGGAACCAGAAAAUAUAUUUAUUAUACUUGAGGAAUUGCAUAAUUUUUCAAAUUAAAGAUAAAAUUAUAAUGAACCUAUGAUAAUAAUUGAUGCCUUAAUGUGCGUGACAUUUCUAAAGUGAAUAACGAAAUAGGAACAGAGGGAAUAGUUCAUAAGCGAGUAUAACUAGCCCCUUAAUAUUAGUAGAUGCUGAAAAUUGUAUGCUUGGACCUGUUGAGAUACAUUGCAUGUCCUUUUGGUUCAUCUCAGCUAAAUAUUUGCUCGCUAUACUGACCUUGACCAACAUGAUAGUAUCAUCACUAUUUCUCUAACUCCGUUAAAAGUCGAGUAUCAUCACGAGCACGAGAACAAAAAGAAGAUGAGUCUGUCAGACAGCCAUGGGACCAUCCUGGGCCUGAAAUCAGAUCCAAGAACGAUCAUCUACUGCAACCAGAGCUGAGAAACCAUGGAUAGCUGUUAAUCACGCUCUGGUCACAUGGCCAUGCUUCAUCAACCAGACUUGAAUUCCUGUCUCCUUAGAAAUCAAGGAUACAAUGGUACGAGCCUAUAGAACAGAUCCUGUUCAAGUAAGGUCGUGUCAUGUGCUACUGGUAUGAAGCUUCAUAUAGCUACAGUUUAUGUGUUGCAGGGCCGAUAUGGGAACAAUAUGUUGGCCCAUGACACAGCUUCGCUGACUAUUUAUGCAAAUUCUAAGGCUCAAAUGCAAUAAAAUUUGUGUCAGAUUUCAGUUUUUGAUUCAUUAUUCAAAUAAUAAUAAUUAUUCACUAAUUUAUUUUAAUGUGUAGAUAAUUAUAUUAGUAGAAAUUAUUCCAAUUCUCAUAGAAAUCGAGGUUUUGUAUCAGAUUAAAAGUGAGACACAAGUAUCUUGUAUCUCAAAGAAGAAUAGAAAAAAAAGACAAGUGUCUCGUAUCUCUUAAUAUAAUUUUUUCUGCUUAUAAAAGAUAAUAUUAGCCCCUUUUCUACUUAUUACUAGAUCUCCUAUUAUAUUCAUAACUACUUAGGAUAAGCAUAAAUAAUUUUUAGUAACCAUAAGGAACUCCUAAUAACUAAAAGUAACGCUCAACGCUUCAUGGGUUAAACCUUCAAGAAUUUCAAAAGAUGCAUAUUAUUGUCUUCUCCUAUCUUUCUUCGCUUCUUCCUCCUCGAAUAAGUACGGUAGGCGCCUUAUCAAAUUCCCAGUGGGAAAAAUUCCAUCACAGUGUUUCCUCAUGUGCCAUAUUUCAAGUCCAUAAUAAAUUAUGAAAUAAAAAUAUAUAUAUAUAUAUAUAUAUUUAUAAAUUGGAAAUUGUCAUUAAAGGAAAACCAAAAGUAAAGAGGAAAACAAUACUCAUUUCUAAUUAGCGAAGGAAACAAGAAUUCUCUGCCUAUAAAUUUCACUUGUAAAGCCUCAUAGUUUCUCAUUCAAUUCGAUCUUCAGUAGAGUCUGAAAAUAAUGGCUCCAAUUAAAGUGACAGUAAUUAAUUCAGAGGAACGCCACACAAUGCUCUCAGAGUAUAUAAAAUCAAUAGUAUUCAAGAUAACAAAAGUAUUCCAAAAGGGCGAUGAAGUUGAAGUGGCAAGUCAAGUAUAUGGCUUCGUAGGUUCUUACUACCAUGCAACUAUUAUUUCUCCUGUUGGCGCUUGCCAUUACAAAAUCAAGUAUAAAAUUCUGUUGACUGAUGAUGAAUCCGCGCCACUUGAAGAGAUGUUCACUUCAGCCGCGAUCCGCCCUGUUCCACCUCAUCAAGAUGAAACAAUGUCAGAAAACGGAUUCCGUCUGUACGAUAUGGUUAAUGUGUUUGCCAACUAUGGAUGGUGGUUUGGAUUUAUCAGUGGGAAAAUUGAGCUAUAUAGGGAUGCAUUUAUGUUCUGUAGUAACAAAUUAAACGCCUAAAUUUGCUGCAGCUACCCGACAUUGAAACUUUCUUGAAAAUGGUGGAGAUUAGAUGGAUGUGCACCAGUAAUUCAAAACAUUGUGGUUUUGAAUAAGGUUGUAUGAGUAUUAUGUUUAUUACAUCGAAUCUUUUUUACUGUGAGACGUUCUGGUGAAUGUUAUGAAGAUUAUGAAUACAUGUUAAAUGUCCAGGAUACAUUCGUAAACUUUUGCUAAAUACGAGAAUUAUUCAGAUCAAUGUUAUAUAAAGCCUAUACUAAUAGAGUAUAACUAUAGUCCCCUAAACAUUCGUAGUUGCUGAGAAUUGUUGCACCUCGACGAGACAGCUUAUGUACUAGCUAAAUAGUGAAAAAAAUUGAGAGUCUGUCAGACAGCCAUGAGACCAUCUUAGGCCUGAGAUCAAGUCUAAAAACGAUCAUCUACUGCAUCCACAGCUCGAGGAGCUAAGGAAGGCUGUCAAUCACGCUCCAGUCACAUGGCCAUGCUUCAUCAACCAGACUUGAAUUCCUGUCUCCUUAGAAUUUAAGGAUACAAUGGUACGAGCCUAUAGAACAGAUCCUGUUCAAGUAAGGUCGUGACAUGUGCUACUGCUACGAAGCCUCAUAAACCUGGAGUUUAUGUGUUGACCUACCGAUGUGGGAAUAAUAUGUUGGCCCUUGACACAGCUUCGCUGACUAUUAUGCAAAUCUGCUCAAAUACAAUAAAAAUUUGUGUUAGAUUUUGAAGUUUUUGAUUCAUUAUACAAAAAAUAAUAAUUAUUCACUAAUUAAUUUUAAGGUGUAGACAAUUAUAUUCGUAGAAAUUAUUCCAAUUCUCAUAAAAACCGAGGUUUUAUAUCGGAUAAAAAUAACAGAAAAUACAUAGUGAGACACAAGUAUCUCGUAUCUCGAAGAAGAAGAGAGAAAAAAAAAAGACAAGUAUCUCUUAAAACAAUUUUUUCUGCUUAUUAAUAUUAGCCCUGUCCACUUAUUACUAGAUCUCUUAUUAUAUACAUAACUACUUUAUAACUAUUUAGGAUAAGCAUAAAUAACUUUUAGUAACCAUAACGAACUUCCAAAUAACUCCUAAUAAUUGUAAGUAACCAUGUUGAGAUUUUAUCAAGAAUGGUCAAAAUGGCAAAUGGAUAUUUCUUCCAAGAUAAUGAAAGAUUUUCAAUUUGCACUGAUAAUGAUUUACAGUAAUGUGACAUGAAGUUACUGAAUCUUUGUCCUUUAUGUUAAGAAGAAUAAUUCAAAGUUUAGUCCCAAUAGAUUUCUAUCGAGGAAAUAGUGGAUGAAACAUUUUGUACUUUAUAGUGAGAUUUGGAAAUCUUAUGGAAAAUAAUUUAUCGCGAAGCUCGUCGAGAAUUCUCGAAAGCUUGAGGCGUGUAAGGCAACAUUAAUAUUUGAAUUAGAAGUAAUGAUCAAUCCGUGGCAGUAAUGGUUUACUCAAAUUUUAGCAUUGUUGUAACAAAAGAUCAAGAUUUCCAAUUAGGUCUCGUUCUUUCUUUAGGAAAAGAAAAAGAAUUAUUGGUCCGAGCUUAUAAAGCAAAUUGUGUUCAAGUAAGAUUGUGCCUAUGGUCAGUGAAUAGACAAUUAUAACGUCAGAGCUUAUUUGUUGCGCACCCGAUGUGGGAGUAAAUAUUAGUAAUACAUUGGCAUGUCACACAAACUAUACAAUCUCCAAUUCUACAUUCGCCCAAGUGCGCUUCUCCUGCUACGACUACCCCUUCUUCUAUUUGAAAGGUAAAGGUCCACCAGAGAGAGGCUAGUGCUUUCAUGAAUAAAUGCGGUAAAAUCAUCAAUCUUUUCGUUACAUAUCGGGGACAGGAAACCAGCCCAACUAACUCGAUUUCCUAAAGAAAAGAGGGGGCGCUCUUCCAAUAUUGAGCUCCUAGCCCUACCUCUCUUUUUUCAAAAGUAUAUAGAAAUGGUAGGCACUGGGAGUGAGUGAACUACCUUGGGAGAAAAGGGCAACCUCUCAAUAGAAGGGAAGGGAAAGGGUUAUCCGCCCAUAAUGAUUGUAGAGUCUCUCGGGGUUGGAUCCUCCCCUUCUUACUCAGAAUAGCUAGCGAGAGGAAUACUAUUGAUUAUCUAUGAAAGAAGGCUUUUAAGAAUGGCUACAAAAUCAGUGAAAAUUUAUCAAUUAAAUAAGUAUUGUUGAAGAAAAAGUCACUCGACUUUUCUCAAAUAAAGAUAUUUUAGUAAACUAUACCUUUAGAAUUAUUUUUUCUAUAAUUAACUUGAAAAAAUGAAACUAAAGUUAUAAUUAUACUGGGGCGGAGGGAGUAAUUUGUUUUAAGGUGAAGACCAUCAAUUUCGUAUAAACCAUCCUAAUUCCCAGUAGCAAGAAUUCCAUGACAUUUUUCCGCGUUAGUAACUUAUAUGGUCACUUAACUAUAACAAAUUGCAAAAGUUACUAAUGAUUAUAAGAAUGAGAAAAAUUAGCAUAUCAUAAACCAUAAAGGAAGUAUUACAAAAUCAAACUUGAGGAGAUUAUAUAAUUAUAAACCAUAAAGGAAGUAUUACAAAAUCAAACUUGAGGAGAUUAUAUAAUUGUCUCUUUAGUUUUUUUGGUCAUAGUAACCUUUUAGUAAAACUAGUUGAAGUUAUGUUGAAUGACUUUUUGGUAAAAUCUAGUUUAAGUUACGUUGAACGAUUUUCUUUUGGUAAAACUAGUUUAAGUUAAUUAAGUUAAAUGAUUUUUUGGUAAAAUUAGUUUAAGUUACGUUGAACGAAUUUUUGGUAAAACUAGCUUGUUUAAGUCAUAUUGAACGACUUGUUUUGGUAAAACGAGUUUAAGUUACGUUGGAUGACUUUUUGGUGAAACUAGUAAUUUGAACGAUUAUUUGGUAAAACUAGUAUAAGUUGAAUGACUUCUUUUGGUAAAACUAGUAUAAGUUGAACGACUUCUUUGGUAAAACUAAUAUGAGUUAUGUUGAACGGGUUUUUGGUAAAACUAGUUUAACUUGAACGAUUUUUUUGCGAAAAAGAUUUUUUGAUAAGCCUAGUUUAAGUUGCAAAAUACUUUGGUGAAACUAUUAAGAGCCUGUUUGGCUCGGCUUAAAAGCUGGUUUAUGACUUAUUUAGCUGUUUGGCAAUACUCAAAACAGCUUAUUUUAAGUUAAAAAAAACUUAUUUUAAGCCAAAAGUUAAAAGCUGGGGUAGAGGUGCUUUUUUUUUUUUUAGCUUAUAAGCUGUUUUAAGUUGACCACAUUUUUAUCUUUUUGUGCUUAAUAUUUUUAUACAAUCUCCAAAUUACCCAUAUAACCCUAACAUUUCUUUCUUCCAUUUUUCCCUUUUCACGUUUGAUAUAACAACUUCAGCACUUUUAUCCAAACGCAUAACUGCUUAUUUUAAAAAUAAGUUUCAGCACUUUUAAAAGUACUUUUUAAAAGUACUUUUUUAAAGCUGCUUUUAUUAAGCCCAUCCAAACGGGCCCUAAAUUGAAAGAUUUUUUGAUAAGCCUAGUUUAAGUUGCACAAUAUUUUGGUGAAACUAGUAAUAAGUUGAACGAUUUUUUGAUAAAACUAGUAAGUUGAAAUAUUUUUUGAUAAAACAAGUAAGUAGAACGAUUUUUUUAUAAAACCAAUUAAAGUCAUACAAUUUUUUUUGUGAAAAAUUAAUAAGUUGGCCGCUUUUUUGAUAAAACCAGUUUAAGUUGAAUUUUUUUUCUUCAUAAAAUAGUAAGUUGACCGAUUUUUUGAUAAAAACAAGUAAGUUGAACGAUUUUUUGAUAAAACUAGAAAGUUUGACCAUAUGUUGGUAAACCUCGUAAGUUGAACGUUUUUUAAUUUGGUAAAACUAAUUUAAGUUGAAUGACUUUUUACUAAAACUCGUAAGUUUGACAUUUUUUAAAUUGGUAAAACUAAUUUAAAUUGAAUGACUUUUUACUAAAACUCGUAAGUUGAACGAUAGUUUGAUAAAACUAAAAAGUGUAAACUAUCAUAAAUGGAAAACAAAAGAAAAUAGGAAAAUAAUGCCCAUUAAUCACCAAAGGUAACAUAAUUCUCUGCCUAUAAAUUGACUUGCAAAGCCUCACUUUUCAUUCAAUUGAAUCAAUCUUCACUACUACUCUAAAAAUGGCCCUAACCAAUUCAUGGCAACUCCACCAAUCAAAAAUGGAAAAGCUCAUAAACGAAAUAGAUUCGAUAGUAAUGGAGACACAACAAAUAACAAAACAAUUCCAAAAGGGCGAUGAAGUUGAAGUGACAAGUCACAAACUAGGCUUCGUAGGUUCUUACUACGAAGCAACUAUUGUUUCUAUCGAGGACGCUAAUCAUUACAGAGUCAAGUACAAAACUCUGUUGACUGACGAUCAGUCUGCACCUCUAGAAGAGCUUGUCCCUAUAGGCCAUGUCCGCCCUGUUUCAUCUCAUCAACUUGGAACAACGUCAGAAAAUAGAUUUCGUCAAUACGAUAAGGUUGAUGUGUUUUCCAGUGAUGGAUGGUGGUUUGGAUUUAUUAGUGGGAUAAUUGAAGAAAAUUACUAUGUCCAUUUCCCUACAACUGGACAGGAAGUUGCAUAUCCUUCUCACGCGUUGAGAUUUCAUCAAGAAUGGUCUAAUGAUGAUUGGGAAGCCUGAAAUGACAAGGAAGGAUUUUCGAUUUAUGCUGAUCUUGAUUUCAUGAAAUUCUUGAUUAAUUUACCGUACUAAGAUAGGAAUGCAAUUCAUGUUUAGUUGCAUAUUGUUAUAUUGCUGAUUAAGAAUUUUCAUAGGCUAAACAUAUAUUUUCUAGCCUUACAUUGUGGUAUUUUAUGUUAUUAAAUUCUUUACAUUUUUGCUUUUCUAAGGUAGCUCGAAUUCAAACAUAAAUGUACACAAAUUCAUGAUAUUUUAAGAAUUUAAGCGUAAAAUUACUAGUCACUCCAAAAUGAUAAUGUAGAUCGACGCUAAGUGAUAUGAAAUAGUUCCAUCACAAUUUUUUUCACCUUGCAAUAGCUCAAGUACCUAAUAAAUUAGGAAAGUUAGAAAAUAAUUUAACAAAUAUAAAAAUAGGAAAUAACUCAUUCCAGGAAAAACCAAAAGAAAACAGGAAACAGUUUUCUCUGCCUUUAAAUUCAGUAGUAAAUCCUCAUAGUUUGUCAAUUUUUUCAUUGAAUUGAAGCAAACAAUCAAUCAGUUGAAUCUGCAAAAUGGCCUCAAUCAAUGUGACAGAAAUGAACUCAGUGCAACUCCAUCAAUCAAGAAUGGCGAUGCUCUCAGAGUCAAUCAAAUCGAUUGCAUUCAAGAAACAACAGAUAACGAAAGAAUACGAAAAGGGUGAUGAAGUUGAAGUGGCAAGUCAAGAAUUGGGCUUCAUAGGCUCUUACUACGCAGCAACUAUUAUUUGUUCCACUGGCGACGAUUACUACAGAAUCAAGUACAAGACUCUGUUGACAGAUGAUGAAUCUGAGCCACUAGAGGAUGUUUUCUCUGCAACCGAGCUCCGCCCUGUUCCACCUCAUCAACAUGAAAAAAUUCCAGAAAACGGAUUCCGUCUAUACGAUAUGGUUGAUGUAUUUGACAACGAUGGAUGGUGGUUUGGAUUUAUCAGUGCGAGAGUUGGAGAUGAGUACUAUGUCUACUUCCCUACAACUGCAGAUAACAUUGCAUAUCCUCCUCACGUGUUGAGAUCUCAUCAAGAAUGGUCUAAUGGCAAGUGGGUAUUUCUACCACGACAAUGAAAGAUUUUCGACUUGCACUGAUCUUUUGAUUUCAAGAAGUUAUUGAUUUACUGUAAUUUGAUAUGAACGCUUUGUUAAUCAUUCACUUUACGCCAAUUCUUCAAGUUAAGUCGCAAACUGUUAUAUUGCUCGCUGAUAAAAAUUUCGAUAGGCUGUAAUCUGUAUAGUGAGAAACGAGAACAUAUGAAUUUGUUACUCUGUUUUUGAGUUGAAUUGUGCUAUAUAAUAAGAUGCAUUACUUUUCGGUAAUAAUAAAAGUUACAAAAUUUCACUAGGAAAUGAACAAGGUAUUGCUAUUAAUGUCUUCGCGGUCUUCACAAGUUCCAAUUCUGCACCUGAAUCAGAAUUUCUUUAGAAAAAACUGGCAAUGAGUAAUGUCAACUUGGUGUAGUUCAAGAAAGGUGUAAUAUGCGUGUCUACUGAUUUAAACAUCACGAUUUAUAUGAAAAAUGAACUGAGACGUUUGGCAUUCAGCAUUGUUCCUCUUGUGUUCAAUUUUUAAAAAGGAAUUCACUUCUUAACAUGGAAAAAAUAAUGAAUCGUAAUAAUAAUGAUUAGUAUAAGGCAAUAAGUUGUUCUAUAAAAGAACAAUAAUGUAAUACCGCAUGCCUACGCUAUGUUUUUAUUAUUUGAAUAACCAUAUAAGUUAUUAACUCCAUUUUUUCUCCUGUUUCCAUAUUUCAAAGUCAUCAGGAAGUAAACAAUUAGGUAACUGAAAACCUAAUUUCAAGUUCUAUAAAUUGACUUGCAAAGCCUCAUAGUUCUCACUUUUCAUUCAAUAGAAACAAUCUCCAUUACUACUCUCAAAAAUGGCAAGAAUCAAAGUGACAGAAAGAAAUUCAGAGGAACGUAGCGAAUCGAGAACGGAAAUGCUCUCAGAGUAUAUAAAAUCAAUAGCAUUCAAGAAACAACAGAUAACAAAAGUAUUCCAAAAGGGGGAUAAAAUUGAAGUGGCAAGUCAAGUAUAUGGCUUCGUAGGUUCUUACUACGAAGCAACUAUUGUUUCUUCAAUUGGCGCUUACCAUUACAAAAUCAAGUACAAGAAUCUGUUGACUGAUGAUGAAUCUGCACCACUGGAAGAGAUGUUCACUUCAGCCGCGAUCCGCCCUGUUCCGCCUCAUCGAGAUGAAACAAUGUCAGAAAACGGAUUCCGUCUGUACGAUAUGGUUGAUGUGUUUGCCAACGAUGGAUGGUGGUUUGGAUUUAUCAGUGGGAAAAUCGGAGAAGAGCACUAUGUCUACUUCCCUACAACUGCAGAUAACAUUGCAUAUCCUCGCGAUGUACUGAGAUUUCAUCAAGAAUGGUCUAAUGGCAAAUGGAUAUUUCUUCCACGACAAGGAAAGAUUUUCGACUUGCAUUAAUCUUGAUUUACUGAAUAUACUGAAUCUUUCUCCUUUAUGUUAAAAGGAAUUUCAAGUUUAGUCCCAAAAAUUGCUUUGAUGAUAAAGAUUUGUACUUUACAGUGAGAAAUAAGAAUCUGUAAUUUGUUACUCUGUUUUAGCCCUGAAUUGUGCUCUAUAAUAAGAUGCAUUACUUUUCUUAAAGGUGUAAUACGUGUGUCUACUGGUCUAAACAUCCCGAUGAUUUUCAGCAAUCACAGGUGUGCUGAUCAAUCGGGUCAAGAUUCCAUCCAAUUUAAAUUUGUUUAAUGGGGUUAGAUAAUGGGUUAUAUUACGGGUUAAGACCCACCCAGCCUAAUUUUUUACUAAGUGUCAUUAUUUUAUUUGUCUUUUAAAUUAUUUUAGUACCUAAUGAAAUUAUAUUUUUCCUUUGUUAUUAAAAAACGAGUUAAUAACCCACCCAAACUUAAACGGUUUGUUUGGGUUUAAUUUUGCCACCUCUAGUUCUGUUUGAUGCACAAAUGCUAAAAUUUGAAACUAAUUAAUAUUACCUUUUGUUUAAAAAAAACUUUGUGAUGUAAUAAUAAAAUAAUUGAUUUUGGACCUAAUUUAACUCUAAAAACUCGUUUAUGAGGGAUAUUUGUUCAAGUCCAAAGAGAUCAUGCAUAUUUUUCUUAUUUCACCGACAAAACGGGUGACUUACCAGGAAGUAUAUGUAGAUAGGUUAUACUAUAUGUCUAUACGCCCCAUCAUCUAUCGAUCACAAGUCGCAACAUUUAUAAAAAACCUACUUAAUUAUACAAUAGUUCCAUUAAACGCUUAAUUAAUCAUUUUGAGUUCAAGUUAUAAUAUAUAUUGUCAGUUUGAUUAUUUUUUAAUAGUAUUAAGUUAUUAUUCUAAGGAUAAAUGACUAAAAAUUCAUUUAAUUUUCAAAGAACAUGGAGAUCGAAAAUCCAAACUAUACUCAUUUUAAGCUUGGGGUUAGUUACAUCUGAUAAUAUGACUCAAUGUCUCAAUUCGAAUACAUCCUUGUAUUUUAAUCUUUUAACAAUGUCAUAUUCAUCAAAAUAAACACUAUAUUAUAUACAAUUUAAUAUUAUACAUUAUGAAACAACCCAAAACAAAAUCGACAAGAAAGGAAGAAACAAAAUGCAAAGUUUAAUUUAUUAGGAAAUUAAAUGCCUUCAUAUCACCAAAGGGCACUCCUUAUUAUAGACACUUAUUAAUUUGAUAAAGUGAAAUUAGAACGAUUGAAUAUGUUUUAACGACCUUCCAGAAUUUCUUUCUUAAAAUUGAACACAAGAGGGGCACCGUUAAGCCCUAAACGCCUCUGACCAUUGACCAUAACAACUCCAACAUCUUUACAAAUAACUUUACAGUAAACAAAUUUAUAACCCUGCCCAUACUUCUCAAUCCUGAACCAAUUUCUUCUAACCUUAGGACCAACAUUAACAAAAAACCUCCCUCCAUCAUAUUUCUCUAGUUGCCACAUUGUCGAAUUAAGACAAUCGUAGGUACUAUAAAUUGCAAUUUUUAGAUCAGUGGACACGCGAAUUACACCUUUCUUUUUAUUGACCGGGAUUAAUUCUAGGCCGUGGCCGUGUGGUUCAACGUAACGUUUUUGUAUGACACUAAGUUGACAUGUACUAUUGUUGCCUGUGGUUUCCACGGCAACGCCACCAUAUUUUUCGCCGUUGAUUGGAACUAUAAAAUAUGUUUUUUCAGUUCGCAGAAUUUUACCAGUUGUGUCAAGAACUGGAUUAGGCGCUGAAGAUGCUUCACAAAGACAAGAAUUUGUGAAGAUGGCAAAAAUAGAGAUAAAUUGGAAUAUGAAUAAUUUCUUCAUUUUCUCAAACUUUUGUACUAUGAUUGGUUUUUAUUUUAAUUUCUUGGUGGUGGAGAAUUUUGUAUGGACAUUUAAAGGUGUGAAUUGUGUUCUUUUAUAAAGAAAAUAUAGCACAUUGGUUAUGGAUUUUUAUUUAAAACUUGGGCACGUACCUAAAUAGGUUGACGGACUUUGACAUUAAAUUAAAUAUUUUUGUGUGGCUUUUGUUUGUCACUUGGCGUGCAUGGUAUUUGAAAAUUUUUAGUCCAGUAAUUUUGAUCUUCAAUAAUCAAUAAUUAAAAGUACGGUAUAUAUAAUUUGGAAUUUGUGAUACUAUAAUAUCCGUGUUAUAGUUUGCUCGAUUUCAAAUUAUAUAUAAUUAUAUAAUAAAUAAUUAUGAAUUUGACUUUUAAUUAUGAAUUUGACUUUGUAUCAUAUUGACAUCUUAAAUAUGUAAAAAUAUAUGUUUAAAAAAGGUACAUGUAAUUCCUUUCAUUAAUCAAUUGCGCAAAAAAAAAAUUAAAAUAAAGUAGACAAAAUAUCAACGUCUAAAUUAUUCUGUUGAUACUAAUACUAAUUUAUGAAUUUAUUAGAAUCACAUUAAUUAAUAUAUAUGGGUUAUAUAUUUAAGUAUAUAUAUUUCGAUAAUAAAAUAAAAUUAAAACACGUAUCAAAAGUCAUGUCAAAUAUUAUAAUAUCUUGAUGAGGUGCAACAAAUUAGAAAAAUAUUUUGGGAGCAAAUAUAUAAGUAAUUAAUUAUUCUAAUUAUGAUUAGAGUUUUAUUAUAAUUAAUUAAAUAUUGGCCAUUAAUUUAGAAUUGUGACAUGUCUCCAAAUCAAGUAAGAAUAUGAGGAAAAUUAAGAGGAGCAGAUCUAAAUAAUUAGUAUCAUUUUUCUUCAUAAUUAGUGCUUUAACAAAUUAUACUUUUUCUGGUAGUAAAAUGUUUAACUACUAUUUAUUCCUUUAUAUGAUAUAUAGUUAUAAAUAAAGUUUUGGAAAAGAAUAUGAUAGAUUAGAGAGUAAAUAACACUAAGAAAUAAAGAAAAAGGCAAAAAUUACAACUAGAGUAAAUUUUCAAAAUGAUCAAUCCAAUUAAAAUCGUAUAGUAAAAUCAUCUAAUUUAUUUUUAUAUCAAUAAAGUCAUUCUAUUUAAAUUUUAUUCUUAUCGAAAUCUCGAAAAAGUAUGUUAUAUCACCAAAAAUCUGACAUGGAGCUUUUGCAAAACAAAGCACACACAAGUUUAUUAGCAAAGGGCAGCCUAUCCUUAUGGAAUUACUAUUUGAAUUAAGGACAAGUUAUUUUCUUCAUCAUUAGUACCAUUUUGGUAGAUUUUACUUAUUUGAGUAAUUUGUUCAAUUGCAUUAAUAUAUAGAUACUUGUGGUUUGAUUCUUUCUCGACCCUGUUCAUAACGAGAGCUUAGUGCACUUGACUGUCUUUUAAAUUUCAAGAAUUGAAUUCUCUUGAACAUCGUUGAGUGCUAAACGAUUUUGUUCAUUGAUGGGUCAUACUCCUCAAGUUGCCACACCGUCGAUUGACAACAUUUGUAUAUACUGAAAAUCGCAACAUUUGAAUCAGUCGAUAUACUUAUUGUACCUUUCUUUAUAUCCACCGGGAUAAAUUCAAACAAAUCACCAUUUUUGUCCUAUUUUUCUUUUACAAUGCCAAAUUGACAUGUCUCGUUAGAGACCGCCAUUUUCUCGAUUUGUUGGCACUAUGUAAUACGUUGUGUGUGUUCGGAGGAUUUUGCCAUUUGUGUGUCUAGCACUGGUUCAGGUGCGGUGGAUGCUUCACUAAGGGCCCGUUUGGAUGGGUUUAAUAAAAGCAGCUUUAAAAAAUUACUUUUGAAAGUGCUGAAACUUAUUUUUAAAAUAAGCAGUUAUGCGUUUGGAUAAAAGUGCUGAAGUUGUUAUGUCAAACGUGAAAAGGGAAAAAUAGAAGAAAGAGAUGUUAGGGUUAUAUGAGUAAUUUGGAGAUUGUAUAAAAAUAUUAAGGGAAAAAACAUAAAAAUGUGGUCAACUUAAAACAGCUUAUAAGCUAAAAAAAAAAAAGCACCCCUAUCCCAGCUUUUAACUUUUGGCUUAAAAUAAGUUUUUUUAAACUUAAAAUAAGCUAUUUUGAGUAUUGUCAAACAGUUAAAUAAGUCAAAAACCAGUUUUUAAGUCAGUUUGACCAGCUUUUAAGCUGAGCCAAACAGGCUCUAAGCCAAAUAUUGAUGAAGGUGGCAAGUAAUAAUAUUAGCAAUAGAUUCUUCAUUUUUUGAAAUUUUGUAUGUAGUGAUGUUUUUGUUUUGUGAAUUUUGCAUGGACAAUUAGAGAUGUACGUUAAAUGUGUGUUUAUAUAAAGAAAAUUGAACAUUGGAUGUGGAUUUUUUUUCUCAAUAUACUUCCUAAAUUAAUAGGUUGACAGUGUUUUAUUUUGUAUUCGAUAUCCGUAUUAAAGUCUAACUAAUUUAGAUUCAGGCCGCCUAUUUGAAAGUAGGCAGGUAGCACUCCUUAUCAAGGAUUUUCAUCAUGCACAAUACUUAAACCUGAGACCACUAAUUAAAGUUGGAGCUAGCAUGUAGUUUCAUCCACUUCUCCAUAUUCAUUAGUAAUAUAUAUUAAUUAUUUUUAUUUUUGGAAGUUUUUACUUUCUUUUUAAUCGAAUGAGCAAUUUUGAAAGUUUUAGCUUCUAAUUUUUAUUUGAUGGAUAAUAUUUCUUUUCUUUCUCUCUAAAUAUAAUAUGAAAUCCAAGAGGAUUCCAUUAAAAGAAAAAUCAUUUUUUAAUCAUCAUCUAAAUUGUAAUGGAUAGUGUAUAAAUAAAUCUGCAUAUUGUUUUUUAUCACUAGAAAAGGAAAAGGUGAAGAAAGGCAGGACAAGUUGUUAAUUUUAUACUUUGUCCUAAAUCAACUUUGUAUUUCAAAACGGUAUCAGAUGCCAAAAAAAAAAUAUAAAAUAAAAAAUAUAAAAAAAUUGGCUAUUUGAAUAUUGAUAGAUUAUGCAAAAUAUAUUGGCCAUCAUCACUUGUCGAGUAUGAAUUCAUGGAAACUAAUGAUGUCUGACUAUGAAUUUCAUUCAGAUCGAAAUCUCCCAGAAAAAUGAUGUGCGUUUAACAAAGUGUAGUAUUCAAAAUGUUUACGGUAAAAUAAUUAUUUAAAUUAUUACUUUUUUUCAAAAAUAUUAUUUUAACUAUUAAUUUUUUUUUUUGACCGUCAAACAUAUCAUUACUUCUUUUUAUAUUAAAAUAUAUGUUUUUAUACUGAGUUAUUUAUUUAUUCUUAAAUCAACAACACAUAUAUAGAUGAUCAACAUAACAUCGAGAUUCGAGGGUGUUUUAAUACCAUAAAUAGAUGAUAGUUAAAUGUGUUUUUUUAAUUCUUAUUUCUUUUAAUAGUUAAAUGUUAAUAGCCUUUUUGUAGUAUUCUACUAGCAAAUUGUGUGAUAAAGACAUUACUAUAUUAUAUGCAUCUUAUGUUACUUUUUUUAUAUAUAUAAUUAUAUCACUUUAUUAUAACUUUGAAAAUUUAAAUAGUAAUAUCUAGCUGGCUCCGAUCCAAUUUUAGCCUAUGGUUUCAAUAAUUUAAAUAUUAAAUACUGAGAAUUGGAUAAACAAUAUGCUUCCAUCUGUUAUCGUCUCUUCACCCUACGCAACAGGUAAACUAGGAGUACUAUAUAUACUUUUUAAAAAAUAUAAUAUUCUUAUAUAUAGUUCAUCAUCAUUAUAGUAAUUAAAUUGUCAGAUUAAUAAACUAAAAUCGCACCAAAUGCUUAGUAAAGAUCGCACAUACAUUGGUCUAUUUCCUUUAGAGUCCUUUUUCACCUUCCCAUGUAUAAUUUUCUUAAAUUAAAAUUUCAAAAUCAACUACUGUUUCACUUAAAAAGAAAUUUAAAUUUAUAAUACAUAUCAAGUUAAAUAAUAUUACAUAAAUUGAGACGAAAAACGUAUAUAUAUAGGGUGUAUAUAUAUAGGGUGAUAAUUUUAAAUUGUGGUUCUAACCUCGACUGACGCAUUCCAUUCCCAAAAUGAGUACUUAAUUAAUUAGGUGUUACGUGUAUUUCAGCAAUGAUGAAUGCCGCGUGGCUUGUCGGUGGCAAAUUUAUACUACUACUAUGAAAUUUACUACUUUAGCAUUGAAUUGGUCAAAUCAUUUAUAUACAUCUUCCCCGUCUAGUAUUAAAUAUUUAUAUUAAAGUUUGAUUAAAUCUAAAUUCAUAGUAUAUAGUAGUUUUUUAUUUAAGAAAAAACAUUGUCUAUGAAGGAUAUUUUUAUAUAUAAGGCUUGAACCCAAUAAAUUUAAUUAAUUAGAAGGAACAAACAUAUCCACCAGAUCACACUAUUUGAUAAUUUUUACAUAUUAUUUUAUUACGUCUUUUAUGAAAGAAAAUAACAAUCUCUUGAAAAAAAACAUAAAAUUAUAAUCAAUUUUUAAAAAAUCAAAAAAUAAGUUGACCCAAAAUAUUUAAAUAAGUUAAUUUUAAAACUUAUUUUGAAUAACUCUUAAAAAAAAAUACAAUCGAAGAAUAUGAAAAUAUUAUUUUAUUGCCACUACAAUUAUUAAAAUUUUAGCCCCACCAAUAUCGCACGCCUCCAUCUUACCAAAAAAAAAAAAUCGAGCGACGAUCCACCAACGUGCAAAAAAAUCACCACUUAUCUCUCUAUAAAUUGACAUCCACUUGCCGUAAAUACUCAUACCAAAUUCAAACUAACACAAGAAAAAAAAAAAAAACAUAAUGAAUACCCUUUUGUUACUAUUUUCACUUUCACUUUUUCCAUUUAUCUUAUGUGUGCCAAAUCCUUCAAGACUACUCUUAGCAUCAUCAUCAUCGUCUCCGGUUCUCGAUAUCAAUGGCGAUAAAGUUAAAGCAGGUCCCAACUACUUCAUUUUACCCGUUAUUCAAGGAAAAGGCGGCGGACUUUACCCAUCCAACGUUAAACAACACAAUAGUACUUGUCCUAGGGACAUUAUUCAAGAGACGGACGAUGUACAAGAAGGAUUGCCAGUAGUGUUUACACGUCUCGACGCGAAAAAAGGCGUCGUUCGUGUAUCUACUGAUGUUAAUGUGAGGUUUUUUACUCCGACUAUUUGUGCUAGAGAAACUAUUUGGAAACUUGGAGCGUAUGAUGACAAGUUGAAACAGUAUUUUGUUGUGACGGGUGGAGUUGAAGGUAACCCGGGUCCGAAAACCGUGGGUAAUUGGUUUAAGAUUGUGAAAUUCGGGUCGGGUUAUAAGUUUGUGUUUUGUCCAAGUGUGUGUAAGUUUUGUAAAGUUAUUUGUAAAGAUGUUGGGGUUUUUAUGAAGGAUGGGGUGAGGUUUUUGGCUCUUAGCGACACUCCAUUCGAAGUUAAGUUUAAGAAGACUUUUUGAUUUGUGUAAAAUUUUCUUUUUUAAAUUUGUACAAGUUUUAUGGUUAAUUUGAAAGAUUUAAUUUUUUAAUAAUAUUAUGUUUAUGAUAUAGGAUGUGACUAUUUUUUUUUUUAACUAGUAGCUAGUCUUUC